GAUGAACGCUAGCGGCAGGCUUAACACAUGCAAGUCGAGGGGUAUAGUAGCAAUACUAGAGACCGGCGCACGGGUGCGUAACGCGUAUGCAAUCUACCUUUUACAGAGGGAUAGCCCCAGAGAAAUUUGGAUUAAUACCUCAUAGUAUUUUUGAAUCGCAUGAUUUGAUUAUUAAAGUUCCAACGGUAAAGAUGAGCAUGCGUCCCAUUAGUUAGUUGGUAAGGUAACGGCUUACCAAGACGAUGAUGGGUAGGGGUCCUGAGAGGGAGAUCCCCCCUCACUGGUACUGAGACACGGACCAGACUCCUACGGGAGGCAGCAGUGAGGAAUAUUGGACAAUGGGCGCAAGACCUGACGGAGCAAUACCGCGUGAGGGAAGAAUGCCUAUGGGUUGUAAACCUC
RNAcentral lists this ribosomal RNA (402 nucleotides) under uncultured bacterium. RNAcentral's name for it is "bacterial SSU rRNA". It matches the Rfam family "Bacterial small subunit ribosomal RNA", at positions 28 to 433 of the family's 1533-position model. The record is from RNAcentral.